GGCGCGAAACCUUUACAAUGCACGCAAGUGUGAUAAGGGAACCCCAAGUGAUAAUACAAAUGUAUUAUCUUUUGCUUAGAGCAAAUAUCUAAGCGAAUAAGUGGUGGGCAAUACCUGUGCCAGCCGCCGCGGUAACCCAGGAGCCACAAGUGGCAACCACCUUUAUUUGGCCUAAAGCGUCCGUAGCUGGUCUUGUAAAUUCUCUGUGAAAUCGUUGCGCUUAACGUAACGGCGUGCAGAGGACACUGCAAGACUAGGGACCGGGAGGAGUUGGAGGUAUUCUGGGGGGAGCGGUAAAAUGCUAUAAUCCCCGGAGGACCACCUGUGGCGAAAGCGUCCAACUAGAACGGAUCCGACAGUGAGGGACGAAAGCUAGGGGAGCAAUCCGGAUUAGAUACCCGAGUAGUCCUAGCCGUAAACGCUGUGAGCUAGGUGUUGCACAAUCUUCGGGAUUGUGCAGUGUCGUAGUGAAGAUGUUAAGCUCACCGCCUGGGGAGUACGGUCGCAAGGCUGAAACUUAAAGGAAUUGGCGGGGGAGCAC
Molecule: ribosomal RNA, 541 nt
Filed under: uncultured archaeon
Lineage: Archaea
Description: bacterial SSU rRNA
Rfam family: Archaeal small subunit ribosomal RNA
Source: RNAcentral